CACUCUGGUGGCCUAGUGGUUAGAGCUUCCGCCUCGGAUUCGGGAGGUCAUGGGUUUGAUCCCCAGUUGAGUCA
Molecule: non-coding RNA, 74 nt
Organism: Potamilus streckersoni
Lineage: Eukaryota; Metazoa; Mollusca; Bivalvia; Unionida; Unionidae
Source: the annotation of a GenBank genome assembly